Molecule: ribosomal RNA, 1497 nt
Filed under: Triticum aestivum (bread wheat)
Lineage: Eukaryota; Viridiplantae; Streptophyta; Magnoliopsida; Poales; Poaceae
Description: partial small subunit ribosomal RNA
Source: RNAcentral
AUGACGAAGAAAAGACAUCACCGCACACGCAAUGUAAAUGCAACACAGAAAGCAACUCACAACAAAGAUGCUGCCAGCAGCGAAGAAGACACAGACAGGCUUACCAAGCUGCCUGAUGACCUUCUGCUAAACAUUCUGGAGAGGGUGGACACGCUCGAUGCAAUAAGGGCCUGCGUCCUCUCCAAGCGAAUGAUGAAGCUCCCCACCAUGCUCUCGCACUUCUUCCUGAGCUGUAGUUCCAUUCCAGGUCACCAUGUUAGAGCUCGUGUUUUCAACGUCAGUGAAUUUGUCAGAACCAACAGUGUUGUGGCUCAUGUAACGGAUAACAUCUUGAGCACAAGGAGCCCAGAGAUCACCAUCAGCAGACUCAAAAUCAGAUUCCUCUUGGUGCAACCUGACUGUUACACAAUUGGCAAAUCUGUCGCCCAUGCCAUGAAAACACAGAAGGUUGGCGCGGCUGAGUUCCAGAUCGUAACAGACAAGACUCAUUUGAAGUGCUCUCCUGCCGAUCUCCUCGACCAUGCAAAGCAGCUCAAUGAUUUCCUCGGUGCUUGUCGUGAUGCAUUUGCUGGCCUCAGGCGCCUGUGGCUGUGCAAUAUGAGGUUUGGUGGUGAACUGGACAUACCCAACAUCCUCAGCACCUGCAAGCUCUUGGAGUCUUUGCGUUUAACCCAUUGCGACUCGGGGAUGAAUUCUGUGCUGCAACUAGAACAUGCUCAGCUUACCGAGCUCGAGGUCGACUAUGGGAAAUUUGAGAUAGUUGAGCUGACAUGUCUACCGAAACUCCGACGGGUGAGCUAUAAGAGUUGGUUCUACUCUGAGAAAGAUCCCCUGUAUUUUGGUUUUGUGCCACAGCUUUCAAAGCUGAGGCUUGCUAAAACUGGCUCCAGAUCGACUAGGACUCUUGAGUUGAGUCAGCUCCUCGGUAAUGUUCCUUCCAUAAGCGAUCUGCAUCUGGAUUUUGAAAGUGAAAAGAUUUGGGUUCUACCAGAAAGCCCGGAGCUGCUCAGGCCUGUGCUCAGCAAACUACAGCAUGUGAUUCUGGAAAAACUUCCUGAAGGAUGUGAUUUAGCUUGGACAAUGUUUAUUCUUGAAGCUGCACCGUCCCUCAAAGAGCUGUGCAUCACAGUAUGGGAUCAUUGGUGCCAUAUGGUGAUGAGAGACAAAGAGUUUCGGGAGAGAAAUGGCUACUGUGAAAAGGCAGACGUGGAGUGGAAGCCACAUGCCCCUGAUUUCAAGCACAAGAAUUUGGUUAAGCUCACCAUCUACGGCUUCCAACCUGACGACAUCUUUGUGCGAUUCAUCAGGUGUGUCAGGGAACAUGCGGUUAAUAUGGCGGAGAUAUCUCUGCACGACAGGAAGGUAUGUCUGCGAUGUGGUGACUUGGAUCCCAAGAUGAAGUGCCCAUCAAGAUAUCCACGGAACGCUGAUGAGCGCAUGCAGAUCAUUGAAGAAUUGGGGAUGUCUUUGCCCGGUUUUGUUCGCUUCAUGUCGUAG